AAAAAAAAAAACACACAAAUGAUGAGAGAAAUGUUGUAGUUUAUAGCUCAUACAUCUCGUACAUGCACUGGACACUUUAGUGUAUAUACAUGUGUACAUACUUACAUACAAGUAUACCUUGCUCUUGUCUUGCAUGUGAUCAGAGGAGAAUGGCCAGACCGGUUUAAGGUGAUAGGAAGGCUCCAGUAACUUAAAUAUCCACUCGUUACAACCGUGAUGAGCAGAAAAGCAUCUCAGCUUGCACAUCACGCUGAAUCCUGAGACGCCUUGCACUCCCCUUCCCUUUAACCCAUUGUAUGUUGACGGUCCUUCUCUCUGAGUGGAGCUCUCUUAUCUUCGUUCAAGUUCAUAUCCUCCUAGAAAGGCACAGAGCGAGCGUGGAGAAAAGGGUAAAUGAUGCAGCUUCAUCUCCUGCCAAGAGGCAACUUGAUAAAAG
This is a long non-coding RNA of Ictalurus punctatus (channel catfish), 436 nucleotides long. RefSeq lists it as uncharacterized. NCBI's taxonomy places the organism in Eukaryota, Metazoa, Chordata, Actinopteri, Siluriformes, Ictaluridae. The record is from RefSeq and is a predicted model, not a curated record. The transcript has 3 exons.